CAGUCGCAGCGUCAGCGCGCGCGCCACCUCCUUGGCCCCUCCCCCAUCCGCUAUACGCACUCGCAUAUCCAUCGGCACCGAACCUACGCGCAGUGCAGCGCGAGACCAUCUCGCACACACAUACGCACAAGGCCUCUCCCGCACUCUCCUUCCCCGCAGCCAUCGAGCGUCACCACCGCCUAGAAGAGGGAGAGGUGUCCCUAUCGUGUCCUAUCCACUGCGGCAAAGACCAAAGAACCGUUGGUGGUAGUCGACGCGUUCGCAGCAAGCAUCCCCUCUCCUGGCCCCGCCCACCGUCCUCUGCACGCACCCGCACACGCGCAGGCGCACGGCGAGGGAGAAUAACACGAGCGAGAGAGUCGCAUACGUACACAUAGAAAGAGAGAGGCAGAGAGAUCGACGGCUUGCACUGGUGAGCCGACGACGAGAUAGAGACAGACAGGGACAGACAGAUAUCUCAGCGGUCUGCGAGCGUGGCGCGUUGGGCGGGUUCGUCUUGUUCGCCUUCCUCACCCAGCCUCCUCCCGGCCCCGCCCCUUCUCGCCUGCCCUCUUCUGGUGGUCAUCUCUUAGUCACUACGACUGUCAUCACCACCGAGUCCACUCCAUGCACGUUGCGGUGGCACCGUCGAUCCUACGCGCGUCCGCAGAGGCCAUGCGGAGCAGCGACCCCACGCCGGCGCGGCCGACAGGCUUCCAGCGCUACCAACGCCAGCACAAGGUGGGCGAGGGGUCCUAUGGCAAGGUGUUUCUGUGCACCGAUGUCGUCGAGGGCGGCACCGUCGCCGUGAAGACGAGUCAGUGGAACUCCGGCGAGGAGGGCCUCUCCGUCUCCUCGAUUCGCGAGGUAUCACUCUUGAAGGAGAUACGCCACCCAAACGUGGUGCGGCUGCUGGACCUCUUCACCGAGGAGAAGAAGCUCUGUAUCGUAUUCGAGCGCAUGGAGAAGGACCUGCGUAGCGUUCUGUCGACCCGGCAGACCCCUAUCGUGGGCAGGAAGCUGAAACACAUGAUGUACCAGCUUCUGAGCGCCCUGCACGCCUGCCACAGCCGCCGCGUCGUGCAUCGCGACAUCAAGCCCGGAAACAUUCUUGUGAGCGCCGACGAGCAGACAGUGAAGCUCGCCGACUUUGGUAUGGGGCGUGCCUUCGGCCUUGCCCUGCAGAGCUACACCUAUCGCAUCGCCACGCUCUACUACCGUGCGCCAGAGGUGCUGCUCGGCGAUCGCUACUACCUGCCCUCCGUGGAUAUGUGGUCUAUGGGGUGCGUCAUGGCGGAGCUGGCACUGCGCCGCGCUCUGUUCCGUGGCGAGGGCGAGUACUCGCAGCUCAUCACCAUCUUCGGUAUUAUGGGGACGCCGAACGAACGCGUGUGGCCUGGCGUGUCGCGGCUGCCGCACUACAACGCCGAGUUUCCAAGCUGGGUGCCGACGUCGCUGGAGAAGUACAUACCUACCCUAGAUCCGGAGGGGAUAGCGUUGCUGAAGGCGAUGCUGCGGUACGACCCACAGCGCCGUAUUACCGCGUUGCAGGCAAUGCAGCACCCCUUUUUUGACGACGUGCGAGACGAGUGCGAAGCUCGGUUGCAACAGCAGCAGCCGUAGCAGCAGCACUGCCGCUGUAGUUGUGGUUGGGGUGGCUGCCAUGACUUCGGCAUCUGAGAAGCCUUCUAGCUGAGGUAGAGAGUGCAGCAGCACUUGUGUUCGCGAGGGCAGGGGGAGGGCAGAGGGCGAAGGUCGCAGAGGCGUAGGCGGUGAAGCGAAGACGACACAGACGGCGGUUCAGUUCUUUUCGCUCGUGUCGUAGAGCGCGUCGCAAGGCCUCUCACGCUUCUCUGUGUGUUUGGGGAGAGAGAGGGAAGGAGGGGAGGGGCGGUCUGUGUGUGUUUGUACACAGACGAGGUCCGUUGCGCGGCUGCCCGUUUAUCUCUCCCCUCCCUUCCCCUCCCCUCCUGCCAAGGCGGGCGCGCCCUUUCGUAUGACGGGCUCAUCAUUACCACUUCUAUAGAGCUCUUUAGCGCCAUUCCUCUUGUUUUGGGGGGUGAGUGGGGGGAGGGAGGCGGCGCGCGUGCAGGGGCGUAGAACUUGUCCUCCUCUCUCCUACCUCCUACCUCCCCUCCCAAUCUCCCUUGUCGCUCGGUAGGCACACACACGCGCCUCCGCCGCGGAGCAUCUUCUCGUACUACCCUUGUGUUGGAGGGUGCGGUUGCCGGUGACGCUGAGAUCGCGAACGACGACGCACACAACUCGCAACAGGAGCUGAAAAGGGGAGGCGGAGGUGGGGGCGGAGACGCC
This 2292-nucleotide unclassified non-coding RNA is filed under the name Leishmania donovani. RNAcentral's name for it is "gene:LdHU3.05.0630(CDS-product:cdc2-related_kinas e_putative)". The record is from RNAcentral. Lineage: Eukaryota; Euglenozoa; Kinetoplastea; Trypanosomatida; Trypanosomatidae.